RNAcentral lists this ribosomal RNA (497 nucleotides) under uncultured bacterium. Its description in RNAcentral is "bacterial SSU rRNA". It matches the Rfam family "Bacterial small subunit ribosomal RNA", at positions 903 to 1397 of the family's 1533-position model. The record is from RNAcentral.
AAAUGAAUAGACGGGGACCCGCACAAGCAGCGGAGCAUGUGGUUUAAUUCGAAGCAACGCGAAGAACCUUACCAAGGCUUGACAUCCCCUUGACCGGUACAGAGAUGUGCCCUCUCCUUCGGGAGCAAGGGUGACAGGUGGUGCAUGGUUGUCGUCAGCUCGUGUCGUGAGAUGUUGGGUUAAGUCCCGCAACGAGCGCAACCCUUAUUCUUAGUUGCCAGCAAGUUAAGUUGGGCACUCUAAGGAGACUGCCGAUGAUAAAUCGGAGGAAGGUGGGGAUGACGUCAAAUCAUCAUGCCCCUUAUGUCUUGGGCUACACACGUGCUACAAUGGUCGGUACAACGGGUAGCGAAGGAGCAAUCCGGAGCAAAUCUCAAUAAACCGAUCCCAGUUCGGAUUGUAGGCUGCAACUCGCCUACAUGAAGUCGGAGUUGCUAGUAAUCGCGAAUCAGAACGUCGCGGUGAAUGCGUUCCCGGGUCUUGUACACACCGCCCGU